GGACACAGUUCACCUGUAACACACCAACACUUUGACUCUUCUGUCAGCCUUCGACAGAUUCAGGAAAUACCCUCCAAUGUCUGACUGUGAUAAUCAUGUGAGGCGAAGUCGUACAAAACAGGAGUGACUUUCAGUGAACGAUUGGUGACAUUUCCAUCACAGCGUCAUUAACACAGCUACAGACUCGUCCACAUAAUGUACCGUGAUGUUUUUGGUCCAGUUCCAUCAUUUGCCUAAUGUCACCUCUCAUGUCAUAUAUUUACCUACACAUUUGAACUAACAUUCUUUUUUACGGUAAGAUAAUAUUUACUGCUGCGCCAAUUAAACACCUUUAAAAUGUAAUGUCAAUCAUCACACGUAGCCUAUUUAGUCAUUAAGAUAUUGAUGUUUCAAAAGAAUGCCAAAACAUAAAAGUGCCAGUCUUUUGAACGGCUCUUUUCAGUGAACGGCUCCUGAUUGAACGGCUCCCUUCAAAGAGCCAACAGUCCCAUCACCACCUCAGACUAAAACACAUGUCUGAUUCAGUCACAUGACUUGCUCCAUGUUAGUAGGUCCAUACAAAGUCGUGGUCAUUUAUUUAUUUAUUUUUAUUUAUUUAUUUACACAUCGUAAAACAGCAAGAGAAAUUUAAAAAAAGAACAUUCAAACAAGUAACAAUCAUUGUACAGGAGAGGUUAGAGGCCAAAAAAGGCUUAUAUGAAUACCUCCCUGAAAAUGAACAAUACACAAGAAGAAAAAAAAAAGAAAGAAAAAAGAAUUAAAAAUACAAUAUAACUGAAUUAAUAAACUAAAGUAAAAACAAUAAAAAUGCAAAUCACACUACAAAUCAUCAAAUGCAAAUCAAAUGAUGUACAGCCUUAUAUUUUUUUCAUGAAUUACAGUCCUUUUCAGAUGCUUUUUAAACAAGAUAAAGAUGAUGUCGAUUGAAGUUCAGGUCGUAGAUUAUUCCACAGAUUUGGUCCACGAUAUUUCAGAGAAUACUAACAGACCGAAGUUCGGCAGUAUGGAAGAUAAAAUUUGUUUGAAUAGUGUGUAGGAUAAUUGUGAAUAACAGAGGACAACAUCAAGAAAUUCUGAAAAACUUUGGGAAGAAUAUGAGUUAAGUGAACAUAUUUGGACAUGAAGACACAGGUCUGGUAAACGUUCACAUCACGUCAUGACAUUAAAAACCCUUUUCCAGUAAAAAGCUUUUCUCUCUGUGAUGCUCUGACUGACCCUUCAUUCUCACCUCAAACAAUCUUCAGUCUACCUCCUGUGAACCAACAACAGCAGUAUUUCAUAAAUUAGAGCCGACACCAGCCGCUGAUGAAUAAUGCAUUGAUGCACAGGGAACUUUGUAACCAGGGUGAGAUUUGUCAAAAAAACUGAGAGGCAGAUGUUUUUGUUUUGUUUUUUUUGUUUUUUUCAGUCAUAAAAAACAAGCAAUCAACAGGCUUAAUUCUUUUUUAAGUUAACGGU
Molecule: long non-coding RNA, 1458 nt
Organism: Sphaeramia orbicularis (orbiculate cardinalfish)
Lineage: Eukaryota; Metazoa; Chordata; Actinopteri; Kurtiformes; Apogonidae
Exons: 3
Source: RefSeq, a predicted model, not a curated record